GUUCACGGCCGCGGUAUCCUAACCGUGCGAAGGUAGCGUAAUCACUUGUUCUCUAAAUAGGGACUAGUAUGAACGGCACCACGAAGGUUAUACUGUCUCCCCCUUUUAAUCAGUGAAACUAAUCUCCACGUGAAGAAGCGUGGAUAAUAAUAUAAGACGAGAAGACCCUAUGGAGCUUUAAACCAAUCCCCAAUGACCACGCUCUUCUACAAGCUUCUGCUUUUAAAAACUAAUACGGUUUUAUGGUAACUGGUUUUAGGUUGGGGUGACCCCGGAGUAAAAAACAACCUCCGGGCAGUAAGGGACCUCCCCUGAGCAACAAGCUACAACUUCAUGCACCAAUAUAUUGACAUCCAUUGACCCAAUAUUUUGAUCAACGAACCAAGUUACCCUAGGGAUAACAGCGCAAUCCGCUUCAAGAGCUCCUAUCGACAAGCGGGUUUACGACCUCGAUGUUGGAUCAGGGUAUCCCAGUGGUGCAGCCGCUACUAAAGGUUCGUUUGUUCAACGAUUAAAACCC
RNAcentral lists this ribosomal RNA (520 nucleotides) under Pseudis fusca. RNAcentral's name for it is "partial 16S ribosomal RNA". It matches the Rfam family "Bacterial large subunit ribosomal RNA", at positions 1923 to 2596 of the family's 2925-position model. The record is from RNAcentral. Lineage: Eukaryota; Metazoa; Chordata; Amphibia; Anura; Hylidae.